This 1254-nucleotide ribosomal RNA is filed under the name uncultured bacterium. Its description in RNAcentral is "bacterial SSU rRNA". It matches the Rfam family "Bacterial small subunit ribosomal RNA", at positions 84 to 1381 of the family's 1533-position model. The record is from RNAcentral.
GCAUGAAAUCAGUGGCGGACGGGUGAGUAUAAGCAAGGAACGUACCUUUUACUGUGACAUAGCUCGUCGAAAGACGGGGUACUAUCGCAUGAGGCUUUACGGUCAAAGAGGUUAACCCCUCGGUAAAAGAGCGGCCUUGUUCCUAUCAGCUUGUUGGUGGGGUAAUGGCCUACCAAGGCGAUGACGGGUAGGGGGCGUGAGAGCGCGACCCCCCACAAUGGCACUGAGACACGGGCCAUACAUCUACGGAUGGCAGCAACUGGGAAUCGUUGGCAAUGGGCGAAAGCCUGACCACGCGACGCCGCGUGAGGGAUGAAGUAUUUCGGUAUGUAAACCUCUUUUGCCAAACUAUCAUGGUUUGGCGAAUAAGCACCUACAAACUACGUGCCAGCAGUCGCGGUAAUACGUAGGGUGCAAGCGUUAUCCGGAUUUACUGGGCGUAAAGGGUCGUGUAGGUGGUUUUCCGCAUCGAACCUGAAAGCCCGAGGCUUAACCUCGGCGUUGGGUUCGAGAUGGGGAGACUUGAGGAGUGUAGAGGCAAGGGGAACUCACGGUGGAGCAGUGAAAUGCGUUGAUAUCGUGAGGAACACCAAAGGCGAAGGCACCUUGCUGGACACUAUCUGACACUCAGACACGAAAGCUAGGGGAGCGAAGCAGAUUAGAGACCUGCGUAGUCCUAGCCCUAAACGCAUGUCUGCUAGAUGCUUUCCGCAAGGGAAGUGUCGUAAGCUAACGCGUUAAGCAGACCGCCUGGGGAGUACGAACGCAAGUUUAAAACUCAAAGGAAUUGACGGGGACCCGCACAACCGGUGGAGCGUGUGGUUCAAUUCGAGACGAAGCGAAGGACCUUACCAGGUCUUGACAUCUUACCGUACAGUUCCCUGGAAACAGGGGAUAAUCCGCAAGGAUGGUAGGACAGCUGCUGCAUGGUUGUCGUCAGCUCGUGCCGUGGGGUGUUCCUUUAAGUAGGAGAACGAGCGCAACCCGUAUCCGAUGUUACAAGUGUCAUCGGAGACUGCCCUGGCUUAUGUCAGGGAGGAAGGAACGGACGACGUCAAAUCAGCACGGCGCUUAUGACCUGGGUCACACACACCCUACAAUGGCGAAAAACAAUGGGACGCAAGCCGGCAACGGCAAGCAAAUCCUCUGCAAAUUUCGCCUCAGUUCAGAUUGGGGUCUGCAACCCGACCCCAUGAAGUCGGAAUCGGUAGUAAUCGCAGAUCAGCAGGCUGCGGUGAAUACGUUCUCGGGUCU